RNAcentral lists this ribosomal RNA (198 nucleotides) under uncultured bacterium. RNAcentral's name for it is "partial 16S ribosomal RNA". It matches the Rfam family "Bacterial small subunit ribosomal RNA", at positions 574 to 772 of the family's 1533-position model. The record is from RNAcentral.
GGCGGUUUGGUCAGUCUGUUGUGAAACUGCUGUGCUCAACUCCGUAGUGCGUUGGAAACUGUCAAACUAGAGUACUGGAGAGGUAGGCGGAACUACAAGUGUAGAGGUGAAAUUCGUAGAUAUUUGUAGGAAUGCCGAUGGGGAAGCCAGCCUACUGGACAGAUACUGACGCUAAAGCGCGAAAGCGUGGGUAGCAAA